Molecule: ribosomal RNA, 253 nt
Filed under: uncultured bacterium
Lineage: Bacteria
Description: partial 16S ribosomal RNA
Rfam family: Bacterial small subunit ribosomal RNA
Source: RNAcentral
UACGUAGGCGGCGAGCGUUGUUCGGAGUUACUGGGCGUAAAGGGUGUGUAGGCGGUUGUUUAAGUUUGGUGUGAAAUCUCCCGGCUCAACUGGGAGGGUGCGCCGAAUACUGAAUGACUAGAGUGCGGGAGAGGAAAGUGGAAUUCCUGGUGUAGCGGUGAAAUGCGUAGAUAUCAGGAGGAACACCGGUGGUGUAGACGGCUUUCUGGACCGUAACUGACGCUGAGACACGAAAGCGUGGGUAGCAAACAGG